This 465-nucleotide ribosomal RNA is filed under the name uncultured bacterium. Its description in RNAcentral is "partial 16S ribosomal RNA". It matches the Rfam family "Bacterial small subunit ribosomal RNA", at positions 28 to 507 of the family's 1533-position model. The record is from RNAcentral.
GACGAACGCUGGCGGCGUGCUUAACACAUGCAAGUCGAACGGAAAGGCCCCUUUGGGGGUACUCGAGUGGCGAACGGGUGAGUAACACGUGAGUAACCUGCCCUUGACUUCGGGAUAACUUCAGGAAACUGGGGCUAAUACCAGAUAGGAAUCCUUGCUGCAUGGUGGGGGUUGGAAAGCUUCGGCGGUUUUGGAUGGACUCGCGGCGUAUCAGCUUGUUGGUGGGGGAGUGGCUUACCAAGGCUUUGACGGGUAGCCGGCCUGAGAGGGCGACCGGCCACAUUGGGACUGAGAUACGGCCCAGACUCCGACGGGAGGCAGCAGUGGGGAAUAUUGCACAAUGGGCGGAAGCCUGAUGCAGCAACGCCGCGUGCGGGAUGACGGCCUUCGGGUUGUAAACCGCUUUCAGCAGGGGCGAAGCUUGUGGUGACGGUACCUGCAGAAGAAGCACCGGCUAACUACGUG